UGUAGCUCCUUGAGAAGGAUUUGGCUGUGCUGGGAAUUAUUGUGUACCAAAUCUAGAAAAGUGUCCAGCAUAUAGUAGCUCAUUGAAUCUAAUAAAUGUGGAACCCAAGGAUGUGGAAGACCAAUGGUAUUAUAAAAAGAAGAAAAUGCAGUGACUGGGGAAGCAUGGGCACAAGGAAGCUUGGGGAAGGUUUGAGGCAAAUUCUCAAUUUCUUCAUCGAAUGAAUGCCCUUGGAGAGCUCUCUUUAGCUGGCUGCACCUCUCCCCCAGAUGUUUCUGCUUGCCAGCUGGCCGACUCCACAACUCUGCUCCAGGUUGGCUAGUGAAGGGUAGGAGAUUGUCCCAGCCAGGAAGGACAGAAGCUGCUGCUGGGAAAGGGACAAAGAGGGGAAGAGGACACCCAUGCUUUUUAUCCUUUUCCUGACUGCCCCCCUUACUGUAACUAGGCCUGGAGAGAAAGUUUGUCCAUUUUUUUUUUCUUUUUAUUGAGUUUAUUGGUACAAUCUAGGUAUACAAU
Long non-coding RNA from Fukomys damarensis (Damara mole-rat), 516 nucleotides. RefSeq lists it as uncharacterized. The record is from RefSeq and is a predicted model, not a curated record. NCBI's taxonomy places the organism in Eukaryota, Metazoa, Chordata, Mammalia, Rodentia, Bathyergidae. The transcript has 3 exons.